RNAcentral lists this unclassified non-coding RNA (240 nucleotides) under soil metagenome. Its description in RNAcentral is "partial contains 5.8S ribosomal RNA, internal transcribed spacer 2, and large subunit ribosomal RNA". The record is from RNAcentral.
AACUGAUACUACCUGCGGGAACCUGCGGAAGGAUCAUUAAAAAUGCUUUUAAGCAUCCACCUCUUGUGCACAGACCAACUGUUACCUUGGCGUUGCUUCAUAUCCAGCAAUGAAUAUGACUUGAUUUUUUGGCCGGAAUUGAUUUUGUUAUUAGUUCCUUGCCGAGAAAUUAAGCGGCACGCCGAAGGAUUCCAUAAACGUUAAACUUUGUCUAAACUAUCCUUUUUUUAUUUUUUGCAA